Molecule: non-coding RNA, 588 nt
Organism: Vigna umbellata (rice bean)
Lineage: Eukaryota; Viridiplantae; Streptophyta; Magnoliopsida; Fabales; Fabaceae
Source: RefSeq, a predicted model, not a curated record
UUUUUAAAUUUUGCUUACAUGCUUUUGCUCUAUAAAUAUUUUUGUCAAAAUUAUGAAUCAAUUAUUUUACAAAUUUCAUGGAAAAUCAUGUUUCAAGAAGAGGAUUUGAUGCACAAACGGAAGGAAAACCUUAAGGUAUUUUUUGUCGAAGCAAUAAUGGUUCUGAACAUAUGCUCUGUAUGUCUAACAGUAUUGGCUUUACUAAAGUUGAAACACGAGUUUUUCAAGCUCCCAAGUUGGAUAUCGAAGAGGGAGAGGACUUCAAACCAACAAAAAUGAGAUACCCUUGAAGUGAGGCCAAAUGGGAUACCCUUGAAGAUGUUAUCUUGCAUACGGAUAACUUAUACCAUAGAGUCACAUGACAGAAAUGUCAUAACUUUCUUCCGAAGGUUUUUGAACUGGACCACGAGACAGCAUAUUUGGAACUUUUUGGACACUAGACGUAUUUUGAAAAGGCUGGCAAAGGAAAAUUUGAAGCAGCUGGGUCGGAUGGUUGCAAAAUUAGCUCAUGCCAACCCAAUGACUGUCCUGCAAACAAUUGUUCAUCAGGUGCUUUUGACAACAAACAAUUUUGUUUAUGAAACCCAC